GACGAACGCUGGCGGCGUGCUUAACACAUGCAAGUCGAACGGUAAGGCCUUUCGGGGUACACGAGUGGCGAACGGGUGAGUAACACGUGGGUGAUCUGCCCUGCACUUCGGGAUAAGCCCGGGAAACUGGGUCUAAUACCGGAUAGGACUGCGCGGUGCAUGCCGUGUGGUGGAAAGAUUUAUCGGUGCAGGAUGGGCCCGCGGCCUAUCAGCUUGUUGGUGGGGUAAUGGCCUACCAAGGCGACGACGGGUAGCCGGCCUGAGAGGGCGACCGGCCACACUGGGACUGAGACACGGCCCAGACUCCUCCGGGAGGCAGCAGUGGGGAAUAUUGCACAAUGGGCGCAAGCCUGAUGCAGCGACGCCGCGUGAGGGAUGACGGCCUUCGGGUUGUAAACCUCUUUCAGCAGGGACGAAGCGUGAGUGACGGUACCUGCAGAAGAAGCACCGGCCAACUACGUG
RNAcentral lists this ribosomal RNA (462 nucleotides) under uncultured bacterium. RNAcentral describes it as "partial 16S ribosomal RNA". It matches the Rfam family "Bacterial small subunit ribosomal RNA", at positions 28 to 507 of the family's 1533-position model. The record is from RNAcentral.